GCAUUUAUCGUUCACAUUACUAGACACUUAUUCUCGUCAUUAAAAAAAAAAAAAUUAUACGCAAAUUUUCUUAUUUAUUUUAUUUAGGAAAUCUCGGGUUAUUACAUUCACCCUCCCUUAUAAGGAUUCCGUCCCCGGAAUCACCGCUCUAAAACUCAUAAGCAUAAGGGUACAUAGUACAUAUAAUCAUUGUACGUAGAUCUCAAUCAUACUUGAUCGAACUAAUCUUUAAUUAUUCUUCAUAAUGCUUGUCUAUCUGAUAAACAGAAAUUUGAUCUCUAAAAGAACUCAAAUUCCUUCCUCAAAAUUUCUUUAAUAAAGUAAUUUACUAUAUGUAUAUAUACAGGAAAAUCAUAUAAGACACAUAAGUUAUUCAAAUAGCACCUGGAGUUCUGUUUCCAGCUGCCACCGUAUCCUCAACUGCUACGAUAUCUUGAACGACCAUAAUGAAGACACUUACGGUUUAUUUCGUUGUCAUCUAUAUCUUGCUGUCAUUUCUCGUAUUCACAUUCCUUAUCUCAUUUCUUCUUCUUUCACCUUAUACUCUUUCAUCUUAUACUCCAUUAAUUCAUAAAUAAAACAUUCGCUAUACAUCAUUGAAUUGAGACAAUUAGAAGAGAUCUGUCUCUUCUGUCCUCACACAAAGCACACAAACUUUUUCUUUAUCUCAUUUUCCUUUUAUCGUAUAGAUUAUAAAAUUUGUCUUUUGCCCUUUCCGUUAUCCUAACUAUCAUAAACGCUUCUACUGAGUCACUUAAUCCUCUAUACCCUAGCAAUAGGAUUGCCUUAAAGUCUUU
This 797-nucleotide long non-coding RNA is filed under the name Panax ginseng (ginseng). RNAcentral describes it as "long non-coding RNA (PGIN_LNC014467)". Lineage: Eukaryota; Viridiplantae; Streptophyta; Magnoliopsida; Apiales; Araliaceae. The record is from RNAcentral.